RNAcentral lists this ribosomal RNA (869 nucleotides) under Cryptovalsa ampelina. RNAcentral's name for it is "SSU rRNA". It matches the Rfam family "Eukaryotic small subunit ribosomal RNA", at positions 228 to 1103 of the family's 1831-position model. The record is from RNAcentral. Lineage: Eukaryota; Fungi; Ascomycota; Sordariomycetes; Xylariales; Diatrypaceae. RNAcentral also lists the same sequence under 1 other name.
CCCUUUCGGGGCUCUUUGGUGAUUCAUAAUAACUUCUCGAAUCGCAUGGCCUUGUGCCGGCGAUGGUUCAUUCAAAUUUCUGCCCUAUCAACUUUCGAUGGCAGGGUCUUGGCCUGCCAUGGUUACAACGGGUAACGGAGGGUUAGGGCUCGACCCCGGAGAAGGAGCCUGAGAAACGGCUACUACAUCCAAGGAAGGCAGCAGGCGCGCAAAUUACCCAAUCCCGAUUCGGGGAGGUAGUGACAAUAAAUACUGAUACAGGGCUCUUUCGGGUCUUGUAAUUGGAAUGAGUACAAUUUAAAUCCCUUAACGAGGAACAAUUGGAGGGCAAGUCUGGUGCCAGCAGCCGCGGUAAUUCCAGCUCCAAUAGCGUAUAUUAAAGUUGUUGCAGUUAAAAAGCUCGUAGUUGAACCUUGGGCCUGGCUGGCCGGUCCGCCUCACCGCGUGCACUGGUUCGGCCGGGCCUUUCCCUCUGGGGAUCCCUAUACCCUUCACUGGGCGUAGCGGGGAACCAGGACUUUUACUGUGAAAAAAUUAGAGUGUUCAAAGCAGGCCUAUGCUCGAAUACAUUAGCAUGGAAUAAUAAAAUAGGACGUGCGGUUCUAUUUUGUUGGUUUCUAGGACCGCCGUAAUGAUUAAUAGGGACAGUCGGGGGCAUCAGUAUUCAAUUGUCAGAGGUGAAAUUCUUGGAUUUAUUGAAGACUAACUACUGCGAAAGCAUUUGCCAAGGAUGUUUUCAUUAAUCAGGAACGAAAGUUAGGGGAUCGAAGACGAUCAGAUACCGUCGUAGUCUUAACCAUAAACUAUGCCGACUAGGGAUCGGGCGAUGUUAUUUUUUGACUCGCUCGGCACCUUACGAGAAAUCAAAG